GGGGCGGUAGCUCAGUUGGUUAGAGCCCUGAACUCAUAAUUCAGUCGUCGUCGGUUCGAGCCCGACCCGCCCCACCA
Molecule: transfer RNA, 77 nt
Filed under: Actinomycetota bacterium
Lineage: Bacteria; Bacillati; Actinomycetota
Also listed under: 2 other names
Description: Actinobacteria bacterium tRNA-Ile
Rfam family: tRNA
About the family: Transfer RNA (tRNA) molecules are approximately 80 nucleotides in length.
Source: RNAcentral